GUGAGGAAUAUUGGUCAAUGGACGAGAGUCUGAACCAGCCAAGUCGCGUGAAGGAAGACGGUUCUAUGAAUUGUAAACUUCUUUUGUGCAGGAAUAAAGUGGGUUACGUGUAACCUUUUGUAUGUACUGUACGAAUAAGGAUCGGCUAACUCCGUGCCAGCAGCCGCGGUAAUACGGAGGAUCCGAGCGUUAUCCGGAUUUAUUGGGUUUAAAGGGUGCGUAGGUGGAUUGAUAAGUCAGCGGUGAAAGUUUGCAGCUUAACUGUAAAAUUGCCGUUGAAACUGUCGAUCUUGAGUGCAAAUGAGGUAAGCGGAAUGUGUUGUGUAGCGGUGAAAUGCUUAGAUAUAACACAGAACACCGAUUGCGAAGGCAGCUUACUGGGAUGCAACUGACGCUCAUGCACGAAAGCGUGGGGAUCAAACAGGAUUAGAAACCCGUGUAGUCC
Molecule: ribosomal RNA, 445 nt
Filed under: uncultured bacterium
Lineage: Bacteria
Description: partial 16S ribosomal RNA
Rfam family: Bacterial small subunit ribosomal RNA
Source: RNAcentral